Molecule: small RNA, 132 nt
Filed under: Salmonella enterica
Lineage: Bacteria; Pseudomonadati; Pseudomonadota; Gammaproteobacteria; Enterobacterales; Enterobacteriaceae
Also listed under: 7 other names
Description: RtT sRNA
Rfam family: RtT RNA
About the family: This family represents a bacterial cis-regulatory element known as RtT RNA. The exact function of RtT is unknown although it is thought that it may be involved in changing the cellular response in relation to amino acid starvation.
Source: RNAcentral
GUCUGCACUUGUCGGGGAAGGGUGAGAACCUUCGAUUAAGGUUCGACUCGAGCGAAAGCGAGAGAACGUUGCCAACGGCAACAGCCCGUAGGGUGAGGAGCGAAGCGACGAAUAAUCCUUCCCCCACCACCA